This 239-nucleotide ribosomal RNA is filed under the name uncultured bacterium. RNAcentral describes it as "partial 16S ribosomal RNA". It matches the Rfam family "Bacterial small subunit ribosomal RNA", at positions 539 to 776 of the family's 1533-position model. The record is from RNAcentral.
CGUUAUUCGGAAUCAUUGGGCGUAAAGAGCGAGUAGGCGGCGACGUAAGUUGGAAGUGAAAUCCCAUCGGCUCAACCGUGGAAUCGCUCCCAGUACUGCGUUGCUCGAGGGAGAUAGGGGCCUGUGGAACUGCCGGUGGAGCGGUGAAAUGUGUUGAUAUCGGCGGGAACGCCAGUGGCGAAAGCGACAGGCUGGACCUUUUCUGACGCUGAGGCGCGAAAGCUAGGGGAGCAAACGGG